Prinia subflava (tawny-flanked prinia) is the source of this 1970-nucleotide long non-coding RNA. RefSeq lists it as uncharacterized. The transcript is spliced from 3 exons. The record is from RefSeq and is a predicted model, not a curated record. Lineage: Eukaryota; Metazoa; Chordata; Aves; Passeriformes; Cisticolidae.
CUGGCCAUGGCCGCGGGCGCGCCCGCCCCGUCACUUGUGUCGCUUCAUGGCCCGGCGGCGGUGACGGCGGGCUGGGACCUCCUUGUCGCGAAUGGGGAGGUUUUUUUGGCAGGACAGGUUUGCCCCUGUCCCCCAAAUCCCGGGGACAAGAGCAAGCCCCGAUGACACCCUCGGAUCAGACCCACUCUGCAUGCCACCACCAGGCUGGAGCUGCCACAUCUCUCCCAGCCGUGAGGUCCUCGUGGGGAAGGAGCCUCUCAAGGUCACCCCAAAAGGGAGAUUUGAAGGAGGCCAGAACGGCCUCGGGCCGACACUUGGCAAGGGAUGUCUGCGCUCCAGGAGGGAGAAAUUCCUCGUGUAUAAACCCUUUUUUAAAGCCCACAGAGCCCCGUUUUUAUAGGCAUGAAAGAGGGCAGAGAAGCGGAAACGCUGCGUUCUUAGUUUGCAUUAUUUCCUACUAGAACAAGGGCGGGACCAUCACAGCGAGGAAGAGCCUGACAAACCUCCCUGGCCCUCUGAAAGCACACGCCUGUCACCAUCACUCCAAAGCCCACGUGUCACCCCAGUCCCAGCGGCUGGAGGGGCCGUGUCUCCCCCAGCCCCCCCAUACUGGCACACCCCCACGGAGAGGCACCAAAACCCCGUGGAAAUGUAAUUUUCCCCAUCACUCGCACCGAAGCAAAGCCCCAUGGCAGGACAGCUCCUUUUUCCCACCCCUUCCUGGCACUGGGACCCUCCUGUCCUCGCCGGGGACACCCCGGGUGCGCCCCCAGGGCCGGGGGCGGGUGGCCGUAAUGCCCCUCAAGGACAGCCUUAAUCCCCGUCUGGAGAGCGCUGCCGCUGUCCCCGCCACAGCCGGUGCCGCUGAGAUCCCUGCUUAGCACAAGGCAGCGAGAGGCGGCGGGGGCACGGCAGGGCGGCUGCCCGGGGAGAUUGUGCUGCGGUGAACCAGCCACAGCUUCUACCCUGUGCCACGGCCUCAACCUCUCACAGCAAAGAAAUUCUCCCCAAUAUUCAGUUGAAUCCCGCUCUUUGUCAGUUUGAAGCCAUUCCCUGUGUCGUGUCCCUCCAUCCCUUGUUCCCAGUCCCUCACCAGCUCUCUUGAUGCCCCUACAGGCGCUGGGAGAGGCUCUGAGCUCUCCCUGGAGCCUUUUUAUCCCCAUCUCUCCCAGGCUGUGCGGACAGUGCCCGCCCUGCCGCGCUCUCCGCCUGCCCUUGAACUUUAAGAAGUGAUUAAAGCCGUGCCCAGGAGGUACCGAGAGGCUGCGGCUGAGCACGGGACACCCGCGGCACCCUCGGGCACCCACCGGCUGCCAGGAACACGGCUGCCCUUUAAAUAAAACACGGAACUGAAGCUGAAAGCUGCCGCGGCCACUUCCUCGGAGGAGCCGCCGGCACUCCCGGCCCCGCAGCCUCCGCCGAGCCCGGCCGUGCCUCCGAGCCGCCUCCGCAGCCCCUGACGAAACCCUCCCGGAAUCCUCCGGCCCCGGCAGGGAGGAGGCACCUCCAGAUGAAAAGUUACGACAAGUUUCCUCGGGGCCACGAAGGCUGCGAUGGCGUGGGGAGGACACGCCUCGGCAAGGAGCGGCGUGUCCCGCAUCCUCCCGCCGUGUCCCGCAUCCUCCCGGUGUGUCCCAUGUCCUCGGCCGCAGGGACCCCGCCGGGGCUGGGGGUUCCCCCGCUCCGCCCAGGGACCCCAAGCAGCUCCCGGCUGCGAGCCAGCCCAGCCCGAGCCGGGCUCAGCAGAGCCGGGAGCUCUGGAUGCGGCCCCGGGAUGGGGCCCGCGGGCUCUGCCUCCAGCUGUGCCUCCAGCUGUGCCUGCGGCGGCUCCCCGGGGCCUCUCCUUCCUUCCAGCUGCAGCAGGGCGGCUUGCAGGGAGCAGCCGAGCCAUCCCCGCCCCCCCCGGGCACAGCUGGGGCACAUCUGGCCCGAGGGCACCGCUGCAGAGGCGCCCCCAGCCCCACGAGCGC